GAGAGUUAUCAGAUGUUUGGAAACACACAGGACUGGCUGCACAUGCUUUGUUUCUCCUCGGCAGGGAUGUUCUCAUAAAAGCGCUUAGGAAGUAGCUGACGCUCCAAACUCUACUGAUACGCGACAAAUCUGAUUAUACCCCGCCGACUGAAUGGUACCUAUGCCUUUAUAAAUAUCCACUGAAACGAAUUGAAACACAACUUCAAACACUGUCGCAGCCUGCAAAAGACAACUAAAGGUAACACACAUCCUUGACGAUGAAGUCAGUUUGUAUCCUGAUGCUUUUUUAUGUGGUGAUAUUGACCUUACAAGUACAGGAAGUUGAAGGAAUCGGAACACUUUGGCAGACUCCCACCAAAAAGGCCAAGAGAGAAAAUCAAGAUAAUGAGUUGCAUAGGAAGAAGUUUCCACUCGACAACAAGCGGAACCUGUGCGCAGCUGUACGUGACAUUGAUUGUAGUCGAGUAUUGGAAGAUGGAUCAGAGUCCCAGUGAAAAAAUAGAAUGCUAGUUGAUAUUGGAAUAAAAAAAAAGCCCUCGGCUCUCUUUUGUUAGCCCAGCAAGAGAAAAGCUUCAAGAACUGUGUGAAUUUUUAGAAAGAAUGACUAAACUCAUAGUAAAAAUAAACUUGGCCUAAAACUCUUGAA
Pocillopora damicornis (cauliflower coral) is the source of this 646-nucleotide long non-coding RNA. RefSeq lists it as uncharacterized. The record is from RefSeq and is a predicted model, not a curated record. NCBI's taxonomy places the organism in Eukaryota, Metazoa, Cnidaria, Anthozoa, Scleractinia, Pocilloporidae.